This is a long non-coding RNA of Gymnogyps californianus (California condor), 339 nucleotides long. RefSeq lists it as uncharacterized. Lineage: Eukaryota; Metazoa; Chordata; Aves; Accipitriformes; Cathartidae. The transcript has 3 exons. The record is from RefSeq and is a predicted model, not a curated record.
CUGCCUCCCGCUACAGGCAAGAGAGAGCCUGUCUCUCCGGGUGAGGAAGGAUCCCCCUUUGUAGUUCUCGGCAGGUCAGACCGCCAGCGUGCACCACAGGGUCUGUGGAGGACAGCCAAGCGACUGGAGUUACAGAAGAGGAAGGGAGGAGAGAAGGAGAAAGAAGCGUCUGAACUGGCAAAUUCUCCCAGCAGCGCCAAGAGCGAGAGCUGUGUGUCCUGCGCCCUGCUCCUCAUUUUUGGCAGCCUCCGCCUCUGCCCAGCAGCCCAUCACUCCAGGAGCCAACCGACCGACUACCCGUUGCCCACUGGACUGACAAGCGCAGCUCCGGAAACGACU